AUUGAACGCUGGCGGCAGGCCUAACACAUGCAAGUCGAGCGGAUGAAGGGAGCUUGCUCCUGGAUUCAGCGGCGGACGGGUGAGUAAUGCCUAGGAAUCUGCCUGGGAGUGGGGGAUAACGUCCGGAAACGGGCGCUAAUACCGCAUACGUCCUGAGGGAGAAAGUGGGGGAUCUUCGGACCUCACGCUAUCAGAUGAGCCUAGGUCGGAUUAGCUAGUUGGUGGGGUAAAGGCCUACCAAGGCGACGAUCCGUAACUGGUCUGAGAGGAUGAUCAGUCACACUGGAACUGAGACACGGUCCAGACUCCUACGGGAGGCAGCAGUGGGGAAUAUUGGACCAUGGGCGAAAGCCUGAUCCAGCCAUGCCGCGUGUGUGAAGAAGGUCUUCGGAUUGUAAAGCACUUUAAGUUGGGAGGAAGGGCAGUAAGUUAAUACCUUGCUGUUUUGACGUUACCAACAGAAUAAGCACCGGCUAACUUCGUG
Molecule: ribosomal RNA, 484 nt
Filed under: uncultured bacterium
Lineage: Bacteria
Description: partial 16S ribosomal RNA
Rfam family: Bacterial small subunit ribosomal RNA
Source: RNAcentral